GAUGAAGAACGCAGCGAAAUGCGAUACGUAAUGUGAAUUGCAGAAUUCAGUGAAUCAUCGAAUCUUUGAACGCAUAUUGCGCUCUCUGGUAUUCCGGAGAGCAUGCUUGUUUGAGUAUCAGUAAACACCUCAACUUCCAUAUCUUUUUUGAAAUGGGAGUUGGACUUGAGUGAUCCCAACGCUUUUCCUCACCGAAAAGUGGCGGGUUACUUGAAAUGCAGGUACAGCUGGACUUUUCUCUGAGCUAUAAGCAUAUCUAUUUAGUCUGCCUAAAAAACAGAUUAUUACCUUUGCUGCAGCUAACAUAAAGGAGAUUAGUUCUUGUGCUGACUGAUGCAGGAUUCACAAAGACGGCUUCGGCCGACUUUGUAAACUCGAUCUCAAAUCAAGUAAGACUACCCGCUGAACUUAAGCAUAUCAAUAAGCGGAGGA
This 432-nucleotide unclassified non-coding RNA is filed under the name soil metagenome. Its description in RNAcentral is "partial contains 5.8S ribosomal RNA, internal transcribed spacer 2, and large subunit ribosomal RNA". The stretch from base 1 to 120 matches the Rfam family "5.8S ribosomal RNA", at positions 35 to 154 of the family's 154-position model. The record is from RNAcentral.